GCCUGAUAUCUUAGGCCUUAUGGAACAGAAACCAUGGGAGAGACAGACACAGAUAAAUGCUCCCUGGGCAAGAAGUGACCAAGAAACAUGCUAGAUCGGAAGGAGCA
This is a non-coding RNA of Sturnus vulgaris (Common starling), 107 nucleotides long. The record is from RefSeq and is a predicted model, not a curated record. Lineage: Eukaryota; Metazoa; Chordata; Aves; Passeriformes; Sturnidae.